RNAcentral lists this ribosomal RNA (302 nucleotides) under uncultured bacterium. RNAcentral describes it as "bacterial SSU rRNA". It matches the Rfam family "Bacterial small subunit ribosomal RNA", at positions 27 to 355 of the family's 1533-position model. The record is from RNAcentral.
GAACGAACGCUGGCGGCAGGCUUAACACAUGCAAGUCGAACGGUUGUAGCAAUACAGCAGUGGCAGACGGGUGAGUAACACGUGGGAACCUUCCUAGGGGUACGGAACAACUCAGGGAAACUUGAGCUAAUACCGUAUACGUCCGUGAGGAGAAAGAUUUAUCGCCCUUAGACGGGCCCGCGUAGGAUUAGGUAGUUGGUGGGGUAAUGGCCUACCAAGCCUACGAUCCUUAGCUGAUCUGAGAGGANGAUCAGCCACACUGGGACUGAGACACGGCCCAGACUCCUACGGGAGGCAGCAGU